GAGGGGCGCGCUCGCGCCAAUCACGGUGAGACCCGUUGGAGGCGGUGGCUGCCCUCAGGGCCGCGCCGCCUCCGUGAGGGGGCGAGUCGGGAUGGUGCUAUUCUCCCCGGCUGUGCCACCCUGCCCGGGCUGUGUCACCCGCCCCCGGCUGACGCGCGGGCGGAACGCGAUCGUGUCACCUACCCGGAGUGAGCUCUCGGGCCGAGAGCGGCCCCGCGUUCCCCCGGCACGGCCCUGGAGGCGCCGCUCCGUCCCAACAUGGCGGGUGCUGCCUUUUUCUAGCCCGCCCGGCUGUCAGCGCCGCCGCGGGCUCGGACGGGCCGUGGAGGUCACGGGUGAAGAGUUGCGGGCGUUGUGCAGAAUUACCUGUGCUUAAGGUGUAGGCUCGGAGUUAUUCCUGCCCAAAGCCCAGCAGACUCCAGUGCCUUCACCUGCGGCGAGGUGUGAGCUGUUCCUUCCUGCCCCAGGGCUCGCAGCCAAGGCUCAGCGCUCAGCCUUCUCAGCACAUCAAACCCCACCACACGCGUUCUUUUCAUCUUGCAUACUGCACUACACGAUAGCUAAAACGUACAAGUAUUUUUCUUUGUUUGAUCUUUUUGUUCCAGAAAAUACUGUAUUUGUUUCAUAGGAAGAGGUUAGCCUUAUUUGAUCAGAACUUGUGUGUGCCUGAGCCAGGAUCCUGUCUGCUGUAGCACCCUGUCUUAGACACUCCACAGAGAAGUCUCAAUACUUUACACUCAAGAGAUGGGUUCAUUCUGUCCCUUUCCUGUUCCAGCAAAAAAAUUUCACUCCACCAGCCUCUCUUGCUAAUUUGAACCAUUAUUUUAUUCCUUAGCUGAUUCAAUUUUCAUAUUGCCUGUUGUUACUGAAGUGUACAGGAUGGCAUUAAAUACAUCAGUAUUUAGGUCAGCCUACGAGUGGACUAAACAGCUGAAUAAUAACUGCAUCUGCUGUUUCUUGGCUGUUCUUCAGGAUACAUCCUUUAAUUUUCUAUUACUGAUUCUACUUUGCCUCACAGAGGUUAAAAUUAUGAUGAUGACAUGGAGGGUAUUUACAUAACUAUUUCCCCUCCUACUGUUCUCCAGAACUGAUAAAGACUCAAGAGUGGACUUGGAUUUCUGGAAACCCCUCUUACUGUUUCCUUCACCAAAGGUUCUUAAAGAGAUUUGGUUGCCAUGGAAGAUUAACAUAAAUCCUUAUUAAAAAUAGAAUAAGGAAUAAAAGGUUUUUACAGUAAAAUCCCCCAGAGUUCUGUGCUAGGAUUUGUACUCUUUAGCAUGCUCAUUUUAGCUUUUUUUUAGUAUUUUUGCUCUUUUAAAAUUUCUAGUAGUUUUUUUUUAUUUCAUCCCUCUUUACUUUGUAGUUUCCAUAAUUUUACCUCCUUUCUUGAGGGCUGGUUCUCAUUCAGAAGCAUCCAGAAAUGAUUGUUCUUAAGGGAUGGCAGUGCUGGAAGGGUGAUUCAGACUGGCUAGGGCAAGGAGUGAGGCUGAGAUCCAUGUAAAAAACAAGGCAGGCUGUGCAGGUCGGGUAAUCUGGGAUUAUGUCAGGAGAGAUCAGUUCACCCUUGUGCUCCUGGCUGCUGCAUCCAGGUCAGACUGAGUGCUCAUCCAGACAGAGCAGAGUCAGCACUGCAAGGGUUUGGCUGCAUUUGCAGAGAAAUAAAAUCAGCUCCACACAGGGAUCUGCCCAGUUUUUACAUCUUUCAAGUCACAGCUAAGUGGGGGCACAUCAGAAACUCCCCAGCACUGGGGAGCUGUGCCUGGAGCUCAGCCAUGGGGCAAAAGGGGAACAAAAGGAUCUCUGUGCCUUAUGUAGAGUAAGGUGGCUUGGGUUUAUUUUUUAAGCCUGGUUGGAGAUUUCUUCAUGAGCUGCAGUUUAUAUGAAUGUCUGUCAGUACAUUCUGGGUUUAUGCCAAUCAAGGAUUAUGACCUAUAUUAACAUCCCAGAAACAGGGGAGGCCAGCCAGACCUGCACCUCACGCCAGGACUGCAGCUCAGUCUCCUGAUGUCUGAUAUUCACUGUUACUACAUUUUAAAGUCAGGUUCAAUUACUUCUCUCAACAGGAACUUAUUUAAAAUGUGCUCACUCCUCCUGACAUGCAUCCCUUACCAUCUUGACAAAGCACCUGACAGUCUCUCAGCGGGGGCUGUCUUUCUUAACAAAACAGAGAAUGGCAUUUGCUACAAUAAUUUAGUUGCUAUUCAUAAAAAUAAAAUGCAGCUCCUAGGAUUUUUUUUAUUAUUUUCAGUGGGACUUACAUCAUUAUAUCCAGGAAUAUGAACAAUACUCAGUUCAGGCAUAACUUGGUAGCUGGCUGACAAAAGCCCCAUAUCCAGACACUUGAAUUUUCCCAUAAUUUGUAUGGCACAUAUGCAUCUCACUGGCAGUUAAAAAAUACUGUUGAAAAACCCUAAUUACAGGACUGAAUCUAAAAGGGAUUUUCCAAGCACCUGGGAACAAAGAUGUCAGAAUGUAAAAACACCAAACACUGACCCUUGGUGGUCAGUCAUGUACUUGCACAUUUAUUGCCUUUAGAAAACAAGAUAAAAAAUCUUCUUCCACUUUCCAAUCAAAUUUAGUAGCUCAGUUGAUUUGAUUUCUGGAAGUCUGCACUUCCUGAACAUCUUUCAAAAGCUUUAUGAGCAUCCAAUAAUCCCCAUAGUAUUUUGUAGUACUGAGGCACAUCUGAAUUUUUAGAUGCAGAAACCAGAAUCAAACCAAUUCCCAGUAGGCAUGCAAUGAAUUAUUACACAAUACAAACGCUCUGAUACCUGCUGGGCCACACAUCCCUUCACACCCUGUCACACUCUCUGUCACCUUUCUGCCACUUUUGAAUCGAGCUUUGUAUUGGAAGUCACUCUCUCUUCAUGAAAACAUUGACUAUCUGUUUAUUCUCCAAAUGUGGCCAAUUUAGAAGUAAUUAAAUUGAGUUUAUUCAGCAUAACUGAACAUCUAAAAACCGUAAAAUAGGAAUUAAAAAGCCACUGCUGUAAACUGGAGUUGUUUGAUUGGCCAAAGGCUCUCAGUGCCUUGCUGGUCUCUACAGGUUUUCUUUCCCCAUUGCUUUUCCCUGCAGAUGCUCAGUGGUACUUUCCAGGUCAGUCAUGCCCUGAGGGAAAAGGGAGCAAUGUCAGGAUGAUGAAUGUAAAAUCUUUUCACUCUGUUACUGAAGUAUCUGUUUUGUAAAAUACUCUGAAAUAUUUUCCCUGGCUGCUGUAGGACAUGAAAGUCAUUAAAAUCUAUUCAUUAUCAAAUUAGUAGGAAUUCUAGAUAUUUUGUAUGUUCUGAAAAUUAAUAUCUUGCCUGAGAAUAUCUUCAUAAAGAAGUCUGGUAUUCAGGCUUUUCUGGAAGGUGGCAAUAUUUUCAUGUGGAAUAAGAAUCUUUCAAGUAUUUUCACAUUAGAUGGAAAUACUUUCAUCACUUGAGGCCCUUCUUGGAAGUCAUUCAACUAUGAGAACAUUUGCUUUAAAUAAAAGAGUGUUUAAGCCAGUGGGAUUCCUGAAAUUCCUGAGCCAUUUAUGCUCUUCUUUACACUUUUCUUAGCACAUCUUAACUCAGUGAACAUUUCCUUAUCCCCAUAGAUUUAAUGCUGGUAAGGAACAGUCAUCUCAUUAAAACUCCGAAGGCUUGGGGUAGCACUUCUAGUCUUUUAUAAUUAAUUUUGUUUUGACUGGAGUAAUUUCUGGGCUCCUUGGCUGCAGACUUCUAGAUAGAGUUAUCUUACCCAUGUGAUACAGUGGGUGUGUAUAUAGAGUACAAGGGCAUGCACACCUUUCACACAGAAUAAUAAUAUUGUUUAGUAUAGAAGCUUCAGAAAAAAAAAUAACUGCUUUUCCAAAUAACACUUAAGGUUUAUCAUAUGGCAGUAAGGUAGGCAUUGAUAAACUCAAGGAGAAAAGAUGGAAAUAGAGCCAUAGAACGAAGAGCUCAUUAAAUUCCAUAAAAAGCUAUACUGGAGACAAAGCAGGUCUGAGGUGGAAAACUACUGACCUAAAUUUAUAGAAGAGACUUGUGACCAGAUUUUGUAAUUGCAUCUUUUGGCUUCAUUCAGCAAGAGAGAAAUGGCAACAUCCUUAAGGAAUGAUCUGUCUCAACUAUUUCAGGGAAACAUCUCAGAAUUGGCAACUUUUAAGAACAGUGACUUGAACAGAAUAAAAUAUUUACACCUUUACA
This is a long non-coding RNA of Oenanthe melanoleuca, 4173 nucleotides long. RefSeq lists it as uncharacterized. NCBI's taxonomy places the organism in Eukaryota, Metazoa, Chordata, Aves, Passeriformes, Muscicapidae. The record is from RefSeq and is a predicted model, not a curated record. The transcript is spliced from 2 exons.